This is a long non-coding RNA of Lagenorhynchus albirostris (white-beaked dolphin), 2406 nucleotides long. RefSeq lists it as uncharacterized. The transcript has 5 exons. NCBI's taxonomy places the organism in Eukaryota, Metazoa, Chordata, Mammalia, Artiodactyla, Delphinidae. The record is from RefSeq and is a predicted model, not a curated record.
CCCGCUGGCACGCGUCCCUCCCGCGGCCCCGCACCUGAGGAUGUUGUCCGCGUAGAUGAAACUACUCUACAGCUUCCUCCUCGCAGAUGGUCAGGCCUUCCUAAGUCAAUGUGGAUGAAAGACCCCAGAGGGAAGCAGAAAACCACGUUCAAAACCAAACACAUAAACUCUGCUGGGUUUCUCCUAUAUGGAUUUUUUUUGGAAUUAGAUAAAUGAUUGAAAAUCUCUUGCAUAAGUCCCAGCUCAGAGAAUAUGAUGCCUCUGUAAAGAAGUUUUUUUCAAAACUGCAGUUUGCAACAUAGUGGGUUGUGGACUCCACUGACCAAAGUAAAACACAUAUCCAAUAAUGACAAAGUAGAAUGGAAUGGAGGAGAAAGGAAAGACAGCAAAAUUAUGCAUCCCAUGCAGUAAGUGUCACCACAGAGCAUUGAGUCCCCUGUGCUAUACAAUACUGAAAACCCCACAAGGUGGAGGAUGUUACCUGUCUGCUGCCCACAGGCAUGUAGACCUCAGACCGGUUGGAACCAGAAGGCUGAUGAUGCCGACUCCCCAUUACCUCACCACCAACCAAUCAGAAUGUUCACGAGCUGACCACGCCCUGCUCCUUGAACACCCACCUGUUUCAGUGGUUUGCACAUAUUUGUCUCCAUGGCUGUUUCCUUAGACUAUGAACUUCCUGAAAGCAAGAACCAUACCCUAUUCAUUUUCAUAUGCCAGCUUCUAGCACAGCUUAGGAAGAAAAUGAAUGUUGAACAAAAGAAAGUACAAGCAAAGAUACAGAGAUGAAAAAAGACAAGCUGAAGUCAACCUAGAGAUGAUAAGAUCACUUUUGCUGGGUGUUGGGCUGCACCCUACAGGCCUGCAAGCCCUGGGCUUACCCAGCUUCAAGACAAAAGAAAGAGCCCAGAGUCAGUGACAGAGACACCAGUGGUUUAGUGGAUGGGGGGAUCUUACAUGUCUGAAGCAAGGUCGUGGAGUGACACCCCACCGUCUGCAGCAGACGGUGGGCAGGACAUGGCAGCAGUCUUUGCUCCAGGGGGAGGGGGAGGUUACCAGUUAUAGGGGAAUUGAUGUCAGGUUGGCUCAUCGGUUACCAGCAGUGAGGCACGCCUCUCACUUCUUCUUUGAUGAACUCUCACAUUACAGAGGUUCUGAUCUAAAGAUUAGUCACCAGCUGGGGCUGGGGGCAAGUCUGUAGGAAGGUCAGUCACGUGAGUAGGGUGUAGGUGAAGCAGGCACUCGUCAGGCAGAGGAUGUACAGAGUGCAAGAGAACAGCCAUCUUGGGUGGAAAUCUAUUUUAAUAGAGAAUGGGAACUAUAUCUGGAAAGAUAGUUUUGAAUCAUAUUACAAAAAAUUUAAGUAAACAUAUGUCUGAACAAGAGGCUAUGGCAAGUGGAGCCUUUUUGAAGAUUUUGGUACUUUAGCUAAAACACCAUGGUAUUUUAACAAGGAAUAUGGUACUAAAUCACACAGUAUAGCUAUUAGAAUAUCAUAAAACCUCUCACCCCUUUCCAGACCAAAGGAAAGAUCAGAGGUAGAAAUAAAAAUGAAAAGACUUUUGGUGGCUUUAUUUUCCUACAAUUUUUUUUACCAUUUUUUGGCCACACUGCACAGCUUGCAGGAUCUUAGUUCCCCAACCAGCAGAAGCGGGGCGUCCUAACCACUGGUCCGCCAGAGAAUUCCCUCUACAAUAUUUUAAUUGACUUGUCACUUCUUAUCCAAGAUAAUUUUGUGAUGUUACAAAAGAAAAAAGAACAGCAUGUUAAAACUGUGUUUCAUAUGAGUUUGGCUUCAAAAAAUAUUUUAGGACUUUUCGCACUAUGAUUUUAAAAUAUUAUAUAGCCAUGAAGAGAGGAGAGAGCAAGUUUGGGUACCUCUCACUCCUUAACUUUUAGUUGUAUUUUAUAACCACGUUUGUUUUAAUUUCUCUUAAAGUAACUCUAUCGUCACUGAAAGGAGGUCAUCCUAAGAAGUGACUGAAUAGGCCUUGGAUCAAGGAUGACUCAAGGUCAUACUAGGGAACUACUUUAGAAAAAGUCUAUUUCCAGACACAUUUAAAUCCAGUACUAACUAGGAAAAGCUAAGCUUCUCCCAAAUUCUUCCCUAGAGCUGGGAAAGAAGACAAAGCACUCUACUUGGAAGCCAUCAAGAGGCACACUGUCCAGAAAGAAACAAAUACGCUGAGAGGUUCAGAUGCAGGUUAUAUGGUCAAUCCUUUAUCUACAGAAGAAAGAAGGACACAAAACGCACCUGGGUCAGCACGUGAGCAACAGAUGGUCAUCUAAACAAAUACUACCUUGCUGAUUUCUUGCUUUUUUAUAUUUUUAUGUUAUUUUUCCCUUGAUAGAUUCACAGUGAGCUCUGAGCAAAUAAAAGUUAUUGAAUUUUUCGAACACUUAGAAAUA